CCUACGGGAGGCAGCAGUGGGGGAUAUUGCACAAUGGGGGGAACCCUGAUGCAGCGACGCCGCGUGGGUGAAGAAGCGCCUCGGCGCGUAAAGCCCUGUCAGCAGGGAAGAAAAUGACGGUACCUGAAGAAGAAGCCCCGGCUAACUACGUGCCAGAAGCCGCGGUAAUACGUAGGGGGCAAGCGUUAUCCGGAUUUACUGGGUGGAAAGGGGGCGCAGACGGCGAUGCAAGCCAGGAGUGAAAGCCCGGGGCCCAACCCCGGGACUGCUCUUGGAACUGCGUGGCUGGAGUGCAGGAGGGGCAGGGGGAAUUCCUGGUGUAGCGGUGAAAUGCGUAGAUAUCAGGAGGAACACCGGUGGCGAAGGCGGCCUGCUGGACUGCAACUGACGUUGAGGCCCGAAAGCGUGGGGAGCAAACAGGAUUAGAUACCCCGGUAGUC
This 440-nucleotide ribosomal RNA is filed under the name uncultured bacterium. RNAcentral's name for it is "partial 16S ribosomal RNA". It matches the Rfam family "Bacterial small subunit ribosomal RNA", at positions 338 to 795 of the family's 1533-position model. The record is from RNAcentral.